AGUUAAUAAGCUUUAAGAAGCAUAUAUUUUGAAAAUAUAAGAAAAAGCAAAGACUUUAUUAACUU
RNAcentral lists this transfer RNA (65 nucleotides) under Matrona basilaris. RNAcentral's name for it is "tRNA-Ser". The record is from RNAcentral. Lineage: Eukaryota; Metazoa; Arthropoda; Insecta; Odonata; Calopterygidae.